AGCUUGGCAAGUGUCCUCAUCAUCGGUACUGCUGACUCUGUCCUCCUGAAGAAUAUCUUGCAGGUGAAGAAAUUCGGCAGCGCUCAGUGGCUCAUCUGCCUGAUCGUCGGUGUCAUCAUCUGAGUUCCUCUUCAGACCGGGCCCACUCCAGCACUAAAGGAGAGAACCCGAGCUGCUGAGUUCAUUCCCAUGAAGGCUUAACCAGAGCAGAGGACGGCCCAGGCUGGAAUCCCAGAACUUUGAAAAGCCAGUUUUCUUCAUCCUCGAAUUCUGGCAAGUCCAUUGCACUGCAUUCUGCUUCAGAGGUCUUGGGGCUUUGCUUUUCAGACAUAGCUCCGGGAUUCGGCUUCUCUGUAGUAUCCUAAAUGCCUAUCUUCCAUGGAGGUCUUAGAAAACAUUGACCUCUACAUUUUCCUUCAGCUAGGGUAA
RNAcentral lists this small RNA (429 nucleotides) under Mus musculus (house mouse). RNAcentral describes it as "testes specific x-linked transcript g". The record is from RNAcentral. Lineage: Eukaryota; Metazoa; Chordata; Mammalia; Rodentia; Muridae.